CGGGGCGUGGCUCAGCCCGGUUAGAGCGCCUGGUUCGGGACCAGGAGGUCGCCGGUUCGAAUCCGGCCGCCCCGACUA
This 78-nucleotide transfer RNA is filed under the name Ignavibacteria bacterium. RNAcentral describes it as "tRNA-Pro". It matches the Rfam family "tRNA". From Rfam's summary of the family: Transfer RNA (tRNA) molecules are approximately 80 nucleotides in length. Their secondary structure includes four short double-helical elements and three loops (D, anti-codon, and T loops). The record is from RNAcentral. Lineage: Bacteria; Pseudomonadati; Ignavibacteriota; Ignavibacteria.